RNAcentral lists this ribosomal RNA (454 nucleotides) under uncultured bacterium. RNAcentral describes it as "bacterial SSU rRNA". It matches the Rfam family "Bacterial small subunit ribosomal RNA", at positions 340 to 786 of the family's 1533-position model. The record is from RNAcentral.
UACGGGAGGCAGCAGUGGGGAAUAUUGCACAAUGGGCGCAAGCCUGAUGCAGCCAUGCCGCGUGUAUGAAGAAGGCCUUCGGGUUGUAAAGUACUUUCAGUCGUGAGGAAGGUGUUAAGGUUAAUAACCUUAGCAAUUGACGUUAGCGACAGAAGAAGCACCGGCUAACUCCGUGCCAGCAGCCGCGGUAAUACGGAGGGUGCGAGCGUUAAUCGGAAUUACUGGGCGUAAAGGGCACGCAGGCGGUUAAUUAAGUUGGAUGUGAAAUCCCCGGGCUUAACCUGGGAAUGGCAUUCAAGCUGGUUAGCUAGAGUCUUGUAGAGGGGGUAGAAUUCCAUGUGUAGCGGUGAAAUGCGUAGAGAUGUGGAGGAAUACCGGUGGCGAAGGCGGCCCCUGGACAAAGGACUGACGCUCAUGUGCGAAAGCGUGGGGAGCGAAACAGGGAUUAGAUACC